AGCGAACGCUGGCGGCAGGCCUAACACAUGCAAGUCGAACGAAGUCUUCGGACUUAGUGGCGGACGGGUGAGUAACACGUGGGAACGUACCUUUUGAUUCGGAACAACUCAGGGAAACUUGAGCUAAUACCGAAUGUGCCCUUCGGGGGAAAGAUUUAUCGCCAUUAGAGCGGCCCGCGUUAGAUUAGGUAGUUGGUGGG
This 200-nucleotide ribosomal RNA is filed under the name uncultured bacterium. RNAcentral's name for it is "partial 16S ribosomal RNA". It matches the Rfam family "Bacterial small subunit ribosomal RNA", at positions 29 to 256 of the family's 1533-position model. The record is from RNAcentral.